AGCAAAUUGUUUUUAAAUACAGAUUAAUUUGAAAUUAUUAAAUUUUGUAAAAUUCUUUCCCAUCUUAUAUUGUAACCUCUAUGAACUUGAGAAAGCUGUUCUAGAUCUCUUAUAAUAAUCAACAGUAGAACACACAAUAACAAAACUUAGAGUGCAGUAAACAAAUUGACAUCAGGGAGCUUCAUAAUUGAAUAUCAACAAUGUCAACCAAUAUAGAGCUGGGAAAAAGCAUACAUAAUCUAAGAUCAAGAAAAUUGACAUAUCAACAAGAACUCUGGAUGUAGCUUAUAGUGACAGAAAAGAAACAAAUUGUAUCUUUUUUUUU
Molecule: long non-coding RNA, 325 nt
Filed under: Mytilus galloprovincialis (Mediterranean mussel)
Lineage: Eukaryota; Metazoa; Mollusca; Bivalvia; Mytilida; Mytilidae
Source: RNAcentral